CACGUGUAGCAGUGAAAUGCGUAGAGAUGUGGAGGAACACCAAUGGCGAAGGCAGCCCCCUGGGAUGACACUGACGCUCAUGUACGAAAGCGUGGGUAGCAAACAGGAUUAGAUACCCUGGUAGUCCACGCCCUAAACGAUGUCAACUGGUUGUUGGGGGAGUGAAAUCCCUUAGUAACGAAGCUAACGCGUGAAGUUGACCGCCUGGGGAGUACGGUCGCAAGAUUAAAACUCAAAGGAAUUGACGGGGACCCGCACAAGCGGUGGAUGAUGUGGAUUAAUUCGAUGCAACGCGAAAAACCUUACCUACCCUUGACAUGUCCAUGAACCCUGCAGAGAUGCGGGGGUGCCCGAAAGGGAAUGUGGAACACAGGUGCUGCAUGGCUGUCGUCAGCUCGUGUCGUGAGAUGUUGGGUUAAGUCCCGCAACGAGCGCAACCCUUAUCAUUAGUUGCUACGCAAGGGCACUCUAAUGAGACUGCCGGUGACAAACCGGAGGAAGGUGACGAUGACGUCAAGUCCUCAUGGCCCUUAUGGGUAGGGCUUCACACGUCAUACAAUGGUCGGUACAGAGGGUUGCCAAGCCGCGAGGUGGAGCCAAUCCCAGAAAGCCGAUCGUAGUCCGGAUUGUUCUCUGCAACUCGAGUAGCAUGAAGUCGGAAUCGCUAGUAAUCGCGGAUCAGCAUGUCGCGGUGAAUACGUUCCCGGGUCUUGUACACACCGCCCGUCACACCAUGGGAGUGGAAUGCUGGCAGAAGUAGGUAGCCUAACCGCAAGGGGGGCGCUUACCACGCGGGCGUUUCAUGACUGGGGUG
This 814-nucleotide ribosomal RNA is filed under the name uncultured Thiobacillus sp. RNAcentral's name for it is "bacterial SSU rRNA". It matches the Rfam family "Bacterial small subunit ribosomal RNA", at positions 670 to 1482 of the family's 1533-position model. Lineage: Bacteria; Pseudomonadati; Pseudomonadota; Betaproteobacteria; Nitrosomonadales; Thiobacillaceae. The record is from RNAcentral.